AUACGUAGGGGGCAAGCGUUAUCCGGAUUUACUGGGUGUAAAGGGAGCGUAGGCGGGAGCUUAAGUCAGCGGUUAAAUGGUGCGGCUCAACCGUGCCCUGCCGUUGAAACUGGGUUUCUUGAGAGUGCAAGAGGCGGAUGGGGUUUAUGGGGUUGCGGGGAAAUGCUUAGAUAUCAUGAAGAACUCCGAUUGCGAAGGCAGUCCGCUGGGGCACGUCUGACGCUGAUGCUCGAAGGUGCGGGAAUCAAACAGGAUUAGAUACCCUGGUAGUCCGCACGGUAAACGAUGAUUACCCGCUGUCGGCGGUAGACAGUCGGCGGCCAAGCGAAAGCGAUAAGUAAUCCACCUGGGGAGUACGCCGGCAACAAUGAAACUUAAAUGAAUUGGCGGGG
This 392-nucleotide ribosomal RNA is filed under the name uncultured bacterium. RNAcentral describes it as "partial 16S ribosomal RNA". It matches the Rfam family "Bacterial small subunit ribosomal RNA", at positions 523 to 918 of the family's 1533-position model. The record is from RNAcentral.